This 282-nucleotide unclassified non-coding RNA is filed under the name Hevea brasiliensis (rubber tree). The record is from RNAcentral. Lineage: Eukaryota; Viridiplantae; Streptophyta; Magnoliopsida; Malpighiales; Euphorbiaceae.
UUCUUUCAACUCCAUUGCAUUAACAGAGCUUAAUUCUACACUUCUCAACAAAACAACCUUUGAGACAUUCUACUUCAUUUUCCGUUCAUUUCUCUUCAUCUUUCGCAGCAACCAAACAACAACAAAACGAAUUUCAAAGAAAUCGAUUGAAAUUCAACAGACACACAGAUCUAAACGACCAAACACCAAAAACCCCAGAAUCGCUAAACAACAUCGUCACAUAACAAAGAAGGAUCAGAUUUGAAUUUGAUACCUUUAGCGAAGAAAAUAUCUGAGUAAACG